Molecule: ribosomal RNA, 831 nt
Filed under: Olla millepunctata
Lineage: Eukaryota; Fungi; Ascomycota; Leotiomycetes; Helotiales; Hyaloscyphaceae
Description: eukaryotic LSU rRNA
Rfam family: Eukaryotic large subunit ribosomal RNA
Source: RNAcentral
ACAGGGAUUACCUCAGUAACGGCGAGUGAAGCGGUAACAGCUCAAAUUUGAAAUCUGGCUCUUUCAGGGUCCGAGUUGUAAUUUGUAGAAGAUGCUUUGGGCGUGGCUCCGGUCUAAGUUCCUUGGAACAGGACGUCAUAGAGGGUGAGAAUCCCGUACGUGACUGGUUGCCUUCGUCCGUGUAAAGCUCUUUCGACGAGUCGAGUUGUUUGGGAAUGCAGCUCAAAAUGGGUGGUAAAUUUCAUCUAAAGCUAAAUAUUGGCCAGAGACCGAUAGCGCACAAGUAGAGUGAUCGAAAGAUGAAAAGCACUUUGGAAAGAGAGUUAAACAGUACGUGAAAUUGUUGAAAGGGAAGCGCUUGCAACCAGACUUGCACGUAGUUGAUCAUCCGGGGUUCUCCCCGGUGCACUCGAUUGCGUUCAGGCCAGCAUCGGUUUGGGUGGUUGGAUAAAGGCCUUGGGAAUGUGGCUCCUCUCGGGGAGUGUUAUAGCCCUCGGUGCAAUGCAGCCUAUCCGGACCGAGGACCGCGCUUCGGCUAGGAUGCUGGCGUAAUGGUUGUAAGCGACCCGUCUUGAAACACGGACCAAGGAGUCUAACAUCUAUGCGAGUGUUUGGGUGUCAAACCCAUACGCGUAAUGAAAGUGAACGGAGGUGAGAACGCUUAAGCGUGCAUCAUCGACCGAUCCUGAUGUCUUCGGAUGGAUUUGAGUAAGAGCAUAGCUGUUGGGACCCGAAAGAUGGUGAACUAUGCCUGAAUAGGGUGAAGCCAGAGGAAACUCUGGUGGAGGCUCGCAGCGGUUCUGACGUGCAAAUCGAUCGUCAAAUUUGGGU